RNAcentral lists this ribosomal RNA (93 nucleotides) under Distichochlamys citrea. RNAcentral describes it as "partial 28S rRNA". It matches the Rfam family "Eukaryotic large subunit ribosomal RNA", at positions 1 to 92 of the family's 3401-position model. The record is from RNAcentral. Lineage: Eukaryota; Viridiplantae; Streptophyta; Magnoliopsida; Zingiberales; Zingiberaceae.
GUGGCCCCAAGUCAGGCGAGGCUACCCGCCGAGUUUAAGCAUAUAAAUAAGCGGAGGAGGAGAAACUUACGAGGAUUCCCCNAGNAACGGCGA